CACUCCUUGGCUUCAAGCUUUGCCUUGGGGAAACUCCAAAGUCCUCCUGCCACAAGUACCCUGCCCUGCAGCACAUUGCACAUACCUACUUCUGCCCAGGGCUGGCUCUCUUCUUGCCCUGAGGGGAUGCCUGAGGAUGAAUUCUCUGCUGUGGCCUCUGGAAUUGCUUUCUGCAGGAACUGGGACCCCAACUGCUCACUGGGACAGCUGGUUGAGGCUUCAGUCACCACUGUAACACAGAGCACAGAAACUGUCUGCUUUAGGCGACAACACCGGAUCUACUUAGUGUCCUUCUCACAGCCAAGAAGGAGGAGAGUUCAUGGAGAGGAAUUCAGGGCGGAAAACAAAGACGUCUCCUCUGGGCCAUAUUCAAAGACCUGAUCUGACUUGAACUGCUGAGUCCGUAGGGAGGAUUUCAACACUGCUCCGAGCACUCGGACAUUGGAGCUGUGCAGGGAGGAAGAGGGAGAGAAAUUCAAGCCCUCCCCCAUUUCCUUUGUGAACCAUUGGAAACUGCUUUCAGACUGCAGAUUCCAACCAGAUUUGUGUCAUGACUUCAGCCAGGGCAUUCUUCACCCACGUGGGACAAUGUCAGGAGCCUCAGUGACAUCGAGACCCUUCAGAGCAGCACUAAUGCCCAGUGGAGUUCUCCAGCCUAAAUGUCUCGUUGUCAGUGGAAGAAACAAAGAUUGGAGCCUGCAGCCCAGGAUGGGACGUGAGGACCCUUCUUCUCCUUAUCCCUGCUCCUGCUCAGCCAGUCCCAGGUUUGGAUGUGGUGGAAAGGCCUUGAAUGUCACCACAACACAGGGAGCAGCUUUGCUGGAGGACAAGGUGAUGCUACCACACGACAUCAGUGAGAAGUCACAACCAAGCAGAGUGAUGUAUAUGUAUGUCUUCAUCUGAAUUCCUCUCCCCCUCUCCUUGUGCUGGUAAAUAAGUUACACGUAUUUUCAGAGGAACUUAUUUCCUGUCACUGCACUCUUAAAUGUCAAGCUCCUGGAGAGGAGUCUUCAAGCAACUUUAAGGUCAGUCAGGCUUCAAGGAAGAAAAAUGCAGGUAGGGAAGAGCAAGAGCAGUCCAGCCUAAACCCUGGCUGUGAUCCAGCCUAAGCCCUGGCUGUGGUCUAAAUGAUGGGUGAGCAGGAGCAUCCCAUAUGGAAGUGGCACCUGGGGGCACUGCUCUGCCUCUACCUCAGUUAUGGAAAAACUAAAGACUUUGACAAAAAAAAAAAGGUGGAUGAAAAUUCCGUGUUGCGUUAGCUGAGGAGCACUGAUGAAUAAUGCAUCCACCCAAAGGUCAGUUUACAAAUGAUUAAUUAACCUUAAGAGAGGUUCUCCUCAUUGGCGACAUCCGCUGUCCUAAACAGCUUCAUCAUGUCUGCAGGGGGUAUUUAAAGCACAGUUAUUUGGGAAAAGUAUUGAGGAAUCAUGGAGAAAGCACCGUGAGAGACCACAAUGGGUCCCAAGGCUUUGCUGGGCCUCUGUGGUGUGAGACAGGCUCGGGCAUCGCUCGACCUGGGAGCAGAAGGGUUUGAAUGUUGUGCUCACAGCUGACAGAUCUGAGGGCUGGGAAUCACCAACAGGGAGUUCAACAAGGGGAAGUGCUGGAUUCUGCCCUGGGAUGGAUGGACAGACUGGGAAUGAGAGGCUGGAAAGCAGUGCCGGGAAAGGGCCCUGGGGGUCCUGGGGGUCCUGGUGGUGCCAGUUGUCCCUGAGUCAGCAGUGCCCUGGCAGCCAGGAGGGACAUCCCUGUCCUGGGGCACCAGGGAGGGGAUUGUCCCGCUCUGCUCUGCCCUGGGGCGGCCUCACCUCAAUAUUGGGGCAGUUUGGGGGGACACA
This 1838-nucleotide long non-coding RNA is filed under the name Lepidothrix coronata (blue-crowned manakin). RNAcentral describes it as "lncRNA (ENSLCOG00000005394.1)". The record is from RNAcentral. Lineage: Eukaryota; Metazoa; Chordata; Aves; Passeriformes; Pipridae.